UAGCGUGUCUUGCUACUGGACCUAGCGGCGGACGGGUGAGUAAUGCUUAGGAAUCUGCCUAUUAGUGGGGGACAACAUCUCGAAAGGGAUGCUAAUACCGCAUACGUCCUACGGGAGAAAGCAGGGGAUCUUCGGACCUUGCGCUAAUAGAUGAGCCUAAGUCGGAUUAGCUAGUUGGUGGGGUAAAGGCCUACCAAGGCGACGAUCUGUAGCGGGUCUGAGAGGAUGAUCCGCCACACUGGGACUGAGACACGGCCCAGACUCCUACGGGAGGCAGCAGUGGGGAAUAUUGGACAAUGGGGGGAACCCUGAUCCAGCCAUGCCGCGUGUGUGAAGAAGGCCUUAUGGUUGUAAAGCCACUUUCAGCGGAGGGAGGAGGCUACUUUAGUUAAUACCUAGAGAUAGUGGACGUUACUCGCAGAACUAAGCACCGGCUAACUCUGUGCCAGCAGCCGCGGUAAUACAGAGGGUGCGAGCGUUAAUCGGAUUUACUGGGCGUAAAGCGUGCGUAGGCGGCUUAUUAAGUCGGAUGUGAAAUCCCCCGAGCUUAACUUGGGAAUUGCAUUCGAUACUGGUGAGCUAGAGUAUGGGAGAGGAUGGUAGAAUUCCAGGUGUAGCGGUGAAAUGCGUAGAGAUCUGGAGGAAUACCGAUGGCGAAGGCAGCCAUCUGGCCUAAUACUGACGCUGAGGUACGAAAGCAUGGGGAGCAAACAGGAUUAGAUACCCUGGUAGUCCAUGCCGUAAACGAUGUCUACUAGCCGUUGGGGCCUUUGAGGCUUUAGUGGCGCAGCUAACGCGAUAAGUAGACCGCCUGGGGAGUACGGUCGCAAGACUAAAACUCAAAUGAAUUGACGGGGGCCCGCACAAGCGGUGGAGCAUGUGGUUUAAUUCGAUGCAACGCGAAGAACCUUACCUGGCCUUGACAUACUAGAAACUUUCCAGAGAUGGAUUGGUGCCUUCUGGAAUCUAGAUACAGCUGCUGCAUGGCUGUCGUCAGCUCGUGUCCUGAGAUGCUGG
This 1017-nucleotide ribosomal RNA is filed under the name Acinetobacter baumannii. RNAcentral describes it as "bacterial SSU rRNA". It matches the Rfam family "Bacterial small subunit ribosomal RNA", at positions 64 to 1078 of the family's 1533-position model. The record is from RNAcentral. Lineage: Bacteria; Pseudomonadati; Pseudomonadota; Gammaproteobacteria; Moraxellales; Moraxellaceae.